AUGCAUCGUAUCGUCAGACAUCGUAUCGAUUGUCCUGCCACCCUCCAGUGCAGAGAUCUCCUCAAAGAAGACAGCGACACUGGUGUGUGUGUGGCCAACAAGGGCUUCCCGUCAGACUGGAGCCUGAGCUGGAAGGUGGACGGGAGCAGCAGGUCUCAGGAGAGCAGCGCUGGGCUCCUGGAGAAGGACGGUCUGUACAGCUGGAGCAGCAGCCUGACUCUCUCUGAGCAGGAGUGGAUGGAGAGCGUCUCAGUGAGCUGUGAGGCCACACGGAGCGGCCAGCCUGCGCUCACUGGACACGUGACCAGACAUCAGUGUUCAGAGUAGAUCUGCUGCUCUUCUCACUCAUGUCUCACAUGGAGACUAACAGCACAUGAGCGACUCCUUCAUUCUCCACAUCCAGCUUCAGUCGCUCUCAUCUGCAUCUGCUCUGCUUUGCGUGUCUCAAA
Non-coding RNA from Labeo rohita (rohu), 449 nucleotides. Lineage: Eukaryota; Metazoa; Chordata; Actinopteri; Cypriniformes; Cyprinidae. The record is from the annotation of a RefSeq genome assembly.